Oncorhynchus tshawytscha (Chinook salmon) is the source of this 614-nucleotide long non-coding RNA. The record is from Ensembl. NCBI's taxonomy places the organism in Eukaryota, Metazoa, Chordata, Actinopteri, Salmoniformes, Salmonidae.
CUUUCUCCAGUCUUUUCUUUCUCCAGUCUUUUCUUUCUCCAGUCCAUUCUUUCUCCAGUCCAUUCUUUCUCCAGUCCAUUCUUUCUCCAGUCUUUUCUUUGUCCAGUCUUUUCUUUCCCCAGUCUUUUCUUUCUCCAGUCCAUUCUUUCUCCAGUCCAUUCUUUCUCCAUCUUUUCUUUCUCCAGUCCAUUCUUUCUCCAGUCUUUUCUUUCUCCAGUCUUUUCUUUCUCCAGUCCAUUCUUUCUCCAGUCCAUUCUUUCUCCAGUCCAUUCUUUCUCCAGUCUUUUCUUUCUCCAGUCCAUUCUUUCUCCAGUCCAUUCUUUCUGCAGUCCAUUCUUUCUCCAGUCUUUUCUUUCUCCAGUCUUUUCUUUCUCCAGUCCAUUCUUUCUCCAGUCCAUUCUUUCUCCAGUCCAUUCUUUCUCCAGUCUUUUCUUUCUCCAGUCUUUUCUUUCUCCAGUCUUUUCUUUCUCCAGUCCAUUCUUUCUCCAGUCCAUUCUUUCUCCAGUCCAUUCUUUCUCCAGUCUUUUCUUUCUCCAGUCCAUUCUUUCUGCAGUCCAUUCUUUCUCCAGUCUUUUCUUUCUCCAGUCUUUUCUUUCUCCAGUCUUUUCUUUCUC